AUUGAACGCUGGCGGCAUGCCUUACACAUGCAAGUCGAACGGCAGCACGGGAGCAAUCCUGGUGGCGAGUGGCGAACGGGUGAGUAAAGUAUCGGAACGUGCCCAGUCGUGGGGGAUAACGUAGCGAAAGUUACGCUAAUACCGCAUACGAUCUAUGGAUGAAAGCGGGGGAUCGCAAGACCUCGCGCGAUUGGAGCGGCCGAUGUCAGAUUAGGUAGUUGGUGGGGUAAAGGCUCACCAAGCCAACGAUCUGUAGCUGGUCUGAGAGGACGACCAGCCACACUGGGACUGAGACACGGCCCAGACUCCUACGGGAGGCAGCAGUGGGGAAUUUUGGACAAUGGGCGAAAGCCUGAUCCAGCAAUGCCGCGUGCAGGAAGAAGGCCUUCGGGUUGUAAACUGCUUUUGUACGGAGCGAAAAGGCUCUCUCUAAUACAGGGGGUUCAUGACGGUACCGUAAGAAUAAGCACCGGCUAACUACGUGCCAGCCGCCGCUGUAA
Molecule: ribosomal RNA, 500 nt
Filed under: uncultured bacterium
Lineage: Bacteria
Description: partial 16S ribosomal RNA
Rfam family: Bacterial small subunit ribosomal RNA
Source: RNAcentral